UAGGGAAUCUUCCACAAUGGGCGCAAGCCUGAUGGAGCAACACCGCGUGAGUGAAGAAGGGUUUCGGCUCGUAAAGCUCUGUUGUUAAAGAAGAACACGUAUGAGAGUAACUGUUCAGGUAUUGACGGUAUUUAACCAGAAAGCCACGGCUAACUACGUGCCCG
Molecule: ribosomal RNA, 164 nt
Filed under: uncultured bacterium
Lineage: Bacteria
Description: partial 16S ribosomal RNA
Rfam family: Bacterial small subunit ribosomal RNA
Source: RNAcentral